GCGGUCGUGGCGAAAUUGGUAGACGCGCAGCGUUGAGGUCGCUGUGGAGUAACAUCCUUGCAAGUUCGAGUCUUGUCGACCGCA
This 84-nucleotide transfer RNA is filed under the name Amygdalobacter indicium. Its description in RNAcentral is "Oscillospiraceae bacterium UPII 610-J tRNA-Leu". It matches the Rfam family "tRNA". Rfam says of the family: Transfer RNA (tRNA) molecules are approximately 80 nucleotides in length. Their secondary structure includes four short double-helical elements and three loops (D, anti-codon, and T loops). The record is from RNAcentral. Lineage: Bacteria; Bacillati; Bacillota; Clostridia; Eubacteriales; Oscillospiraceae.